GGAGGACGUGGCUGGGAAGGUAUAGAUGGCCAGCGAUAGCAGGGGAGGUCGAACCACCACGACGUUCGAUUCUCCUUUUAUUGUAGAAAAAAAGAAAAGAAGAGAAGAGAGAUGUUGAAACAACAGUUGAAUCAUUUGCUCUCGCUCUUGUUUCGUUUACAUUCACAUUCAAUACGUUAUCAGCACGCUCGCCGUUGAGCGAGUCUCGCCGGAACAAAAACAUCUACAAAGGUGAGAAAAGAGUUGCUUUUUCGCUGUCUGUAACGCGUCUCUGCCCAUCGACACGACGGCCGUCGCUACGGCGGACCAGGCCGCUACCUUGGCCGCCGCCAUGGAGCAGGAGGCUACCGAGGCUUCCGUGGUUUUCCUCAUCGCCACCGGAACGGCGCCGCGAGGGUGCCGGUGCAAAACCUUGUGACGGCCGAGUAGGCGCCCGUGCCCCUGCCGGUGCAGGACCUUGGGCCGGACGUCGCGCCCCUGGUGCCGGCGGUAGAGGAUUGGCUCCUCGCCGGUCUGGCAGCCCCGAGGCUGCACGUCGAACCCGUCACGUCUGUGAUGGCUGCUCUGACUCCAGGGAACGGCACGAGCGACUCCUCAAUGGCCGCUGCCGACGGUACGCAGGCCGGCGCGUCGCAUGCAUCCAUCGGCUUCACGGCCGUGGAUGUGAACACGGCUGCCUCGCCUCUGCCCUCGCCUACUCCCGCGACACCGUCGCCUUCGCCGACCCUCUCGUGACCCGCGGCCUCCCGCCUAGCUCGGCGGCGGCCUCGCCCUCGGGCAGACGCGGUCGCCGUGCCGGCUCGUGGAGCCCGGCCGCGCUGGGACUCGCGAACGGCGUCGCGCCCGGGACGCAGCUCCCUGGCAAACCUCGGACGAGGACGAGCAUAGCGGGUGCGCCUCUCGCCGCCAGUGAUCGCCGCUGCGGCGCAUGCGUGCUCGUGGCCAGCCGGCCGGCCGUUGAGCGCUCCGCCUGGAACUGUCUCGGGCGUGGAUAGGAAGAUGCGAUGGGGAUUUAAUUUCUUUGGUCGUUCGGUCGCUCUUCUUAUCCACACGGACUGAACUGAUUAGGCUGGGGCUGGCUCACGUGGCCCAUGUGCAUGCGGCAGAAUCGCUCCAGCAGCCUAUCCCUUUGU
RNAcentral lists this ribosomal RNA (1133 nucleotides) under Triticum aestivum (bread wheat). RNAcentral describes it as "partial small subunit ribosomal RNA". The record is from RNAcentral. Lineage: Eukaryota; Viridiplantae; Streptophyta; Magnoliopsida; Poales; Poaceae.